Molecule: ribosomal RNA, 1410 nt
Filed under: Streptomyces sp.
Lineage: Bacteria; Bacillati; Actinomycetota; Actinomycetes; Kitasatosporales; Streptomycetaceae
Description: bacterial SSU rRNA
Rfam family: Bacterial small subunit ribosomal RNA
Source: RNAcentral
GCUAACCAUGCAGUCGAACGAUGAACCACUUCGGUGGGGAUUAGUGGCGAACGGGUGAGUAACACGUGGGCAAUCUGCCCUGCACUCUGGGACAAGCCCUGGAAACGGGGUCUAAUACCGGAUACUGACCGCCUUGGGCAUCCAAGGCGUUCGAAAGCUCCGGCGGUGCAGGAUGAGCCCGCGGCCUAUCAGCUUGUUGGUGAGGUAAUGGCUCACCAAGGCGACGACGGGUAGCCGGCCUGAGAGGGCGACCGGCCACACUGGGACUGAGACACGGCCCAGACUCCUACGGGAGGCAGCAGUGGGGAAUAUUGCACAAUGGGCGAAAGCCUGAUGCAGCGACGCCGCGUGAGGGAUGACGGCCUUCGGGUUGUAAACCUCUUUCAGCAGGGAAGAAGCGAAAGUGACGGUACCUGCAGAAGAAGCGCCGGCUAACUACGUGCCAGCAGCCGCGGUAAUACGUAGGGCGCGAGCGUUGUCCGGAAUUAUUGGGCGUAAAGAGCUCGUAGGCGGCUUGUCACGUCGGUUGUGAAAGCCCGGGGCUUAACCCCGGGUCUGCAGUCGAUACGGGCAGGCUAGAGUUCGGUAGGGGAGAUCGGAAUUCCUGGUGUAGCGGUGAAAUGCGCAGAUAUCAGGAGGAACACCGGUGGCGAAGGCGGAUCUCUGGGCCGAUACUGACGCUGAGGAGCGAAAGCGUGGGGAGCGAACAGGAUUAGAUACCCUGGUAGUCCACGCCGUAAACGGUGGGCACUAGGUGUGGGCAACAUUCCACGUUGUCCGUGCCGCAGCUAACGCAUUAAGUGCCCCGCCUGGGGAGUACGGCCGCAAGGCUAAAACUCAAAGGAAUUGACGGGGGCCCGCACAAGCGGCGGAGCAUGUGGCUUAAUUCGACGCAACGCGAAGAACCUUACCAAGGCUUGACAUACACCGGAAACGUCUGGAGACGGGCGCCCCCUUGUGGUCGGUGUACAGGUGGUGCAUGGCUGUCGUCACCUCGUGUCGUGAGAUGUUGGGUUAAGUCCCGCAACGAGCGCAACCCUUGUCCCGUGUUGCCAGCAGGCCCUUGUGGUGCUGGGGACUCACGGGAGACCGCCGGGGUCAACUCGGAGGAAGGUGGGGACGACGUCAAGUCAUCAUGCCCCUUAUGUCUUGGGCUGCACACGUGCUACAAUGGCCGGUACAAUGAGCUGCGAUACCGCGAGGUGGAGCGAAUCUCAAAAAGCCGGUCUCAGUUCGGAUUGGGGUCUGCAACUCGACCCCAUGAAGUCGGAGUCGCUAGUAAUCGCAGAUCAGCAUUGCUGCGGUGAAUACGUUCCCGGGCCUUGUACACACCGCCCGUCACGUCACGAAAGUCGGUAACACCCGAAGCCGGUGGCCCAACCCCCUUGUGGGGAGGAGCUUCGAAGGGGA